GAGUUUGAUCGUGGCUCAGAUUGAACGCUGGCGGCAUGCCUUACACAUGCAAGUCGAACGGCAGCACGGGAGCUUGCUCCUGGUGGCGAGUGGCGAACGGGUGAGUAAUGCAUCGGAACGUAUCCUGGAGUGGGGGAUAACGUAGCGAAAGUUACGCUAAUACCGCAUAUUCUGUGAGCAGGAAAGCGGGGGACCUUCGGGCCUCGCGCUCCUGGAGCGGCCGAUGUCGGAUUAGCUAGUUGGUGAGGUAAAGGCUCACCAAGGCGACGAUCCGUAGCAGGUCUGAGAGGAUGAUCUGCCACACUGGAACUGAGACACGGUCCAGACUCCUACGGGAGGCAGCAGUGGGGAAUUUUGGACAAUGGGGGCAACCCUGAUCCAGCCAUGCCGCGUGAGUGAAGAAGGCCUCGGUUGUAAGACUCUUUCGUCGAGGAAGGAAAGUUAGUACGACCGGA
Molecule: ribosomal RNA, 455 nt
Filed under: bacterium enrichment culture clone ALO1_GLFRUDD03F1HP6
Lineage: Bacteria
Description: bacterial SSU rRNA
Rfam family: Bacterial small subunit ribosomal RNA
Source: RNAcentral